RNAcentral lists this microRNA precursor (58 nucleotides) under Oreochromis niloticus (Nile tilapia). RNAcentral describes it as "microRNA oni-mir-10759 precursor". Lineage: Eukaryota; Metazoa; Chordata; Actinopteri; Cichliformes; Cichlidae. The record is from miRBase by way of RNAcentral.
CAAAUUUAACCUUCUCCUGAUGUAAGGUCCAUUACAUCAGGAAAAGGUUAAAUUUGUG